RNAcentral lists this unclassified non-coding RNA (208 nucleotides) under Levilactobacillus brevis. Its description in RNAcentral is "partial contains 16S ribosomal RNA and 16S-23S ribosomal RNA intergenic spacer". The stretch from base 1 to 154 matches the Rfam family "Bacterial small subunit ribosomal RNA", at positions 1380 to 1533 of the family's 1533-position model. The record is from RNAcentral. Lineage: Bacteria; Bacillati; Bacillota; Bacilli; Lactobacillales; Lactobacillaceae.
CUUGUACACACCGCCCGUCACACCAUGAGAGUUUGUAACACCCAAAGCCGGUGAGAUAACCUUCGGGAGUCAGCCGUCUAAGGUGGGACAGAUGAUUAGGGUGAAGUCGUAACAAGGUAGCCGUAGGAGAACCUGCGGCUGGAUCACCUCCUUUCUAAGGAAUAUACGGAGGCUACACAUACUUGUUGAAACUUUGUUUAGUUUUGAG